This 887-nucleotide ribosomal RNA is filed under the name Bacillus sp. C77. Its description in RNAcentral is "bacterial SSU rRNA". It matches the Rfam family "Bacterial small subunit ribosomal RNA", at positions 54 to 922 of the family's 1533-position model. The record is from RNAcentral. Lineage: Bacteria; Bacillati; Bacillota; Bacilli; Caryophanales; Bacillaceae.
CAUGCAAGUCGAGCGGACAGAUGGGAGCUUGCUCCCUGAUGUUAGCGGCGGACGGGUGAGUAACACGUGGGUAACCUGCCUGUAAGACUGGGAUAACUCCGGGAAACCGGGGCUAAUACCGGAUGCUUGUUUGAACCGCAUGGUUCAAACAUAAAAGGUGGCUUCGGCUACCACUUACAGAUGGACCCGCGGCGCAUUAGCUAGUUGGUGAGGUAAUGGCUCACCAAGGCAACGAUGCGUAGCCGACCUGAGAGGGUGAUCGGCCACACUGGGACUGAGACACGGCCCAGACUCCUACGGGAGGCAGCAGUAGGGAAUCUUCCGCAAUGGACGAAAGUCUGACGGAGCAACGCCGCGUGAGUGAUGAAGGUUUUCGGAUCGUAAAGCUCUGUUGUUAGGGAAGAACAAGUGCCGUUCAAAUAGGGCGGCACCUUGACGGUACCUAACCAGAAAGCCACGGCUAACUACGUGCCAGCAGCCGCGGUAAUACGUAGGUGGCAAGCGUUGUCCGGAAUUAUUGGGCGUAAAGGGCUCGCAGGCGGUUUCUUAAGUCUGAUGUGAAAGCCCCCGGCUCAACCGGGGAGGGUCAUUGGAAACUGGGGAACUUGAGUGCAGAAGAGGAGAGUGGAAUUCCACGUGUAGCGGUGAAAUGCGUAGAGAUGUGGAGGAACACCAGUGGCGAAGGCGACUCUCUGGUCUGUAACUGACGCUGAGGAGCGAAAGCGUGGGGAGCGAACAGGAUUAGAUACCCUGGUAGUCCACGCCGUAAACGAUGAGUGCUAAGUGUUAGGGGGUUUCCGCCCCUUAGUGCUGCAGCUAACGCAUUAAGCACUCCGCCUGGGGAGUACGGUCGCAAGACUGAAACUCAAAGGAAUUGACGGGGGCCG